This 938-nucleotide ribosomal RNA is filed under the name Bacillus subtilis. Its description in RNAcentral is "bacterial SSU rRNA". It matches the Rfam family "Bacterial small subunit ribosomal RNA", at positions 548 to 1483 of the family's 1533-position model. The record is from RNAcentral. Lineage: Bacteria; Bacillati; Bacillota; Bacilli; Caryophanales; Bacillaceae.
GAAUUAUUGGGCGUAAAGGGCUCGCAGGCGGUUUCUUAAGUCUGAUGUGAAAGCCCCCGGCUCAACCGGGGAGGGUCAUUGGAAACUGGGGAACUUGAGUGCAGAAGAGGAGAGUGGAAUUCCACGUGUAGCGGUGAAAUGCGUAGAGAUGUGGAGGAACACCAGUGGCGAAGGCGACUCUCUGGUCUGUAACUGACGCUGAGGAGCGAAAGCGUGGGGAGCGAACAGGAUUAGAUACCCUGGUAGUCCACGCCGUAAACGAUGAGUGCUAAGUGUUAGGGGGUUUCCGCCCCUUAGUGCUGCAGCUAACGCAUUAAGCACUCCGCCUGGGGAGUACGGUCGCAAGACUGAAACUCAAAGGAAUUGACGGGGGCCCGCACAAGCGGUGGAGCAUGUGGUUUAAUUCGAAGCAACGCGAAGAACCUUACCAGGUCUUGACAUCCUCUGACAAUCCUAGAGAUAGGACGUCCCCUUCGGGGGCAGAGUGACAGGUGGUGCAUGGUUGUCGUCAGCUCGUGUCGUGAGAUGUUGGGUUAAGUCCCGCAACGAGCGCAACCCUUGAUCUUAGUUGCCAGCAUUCAGUUGGGCACUCUAAGGUGACUGCCGGUGACAAACCGGAGGAAGGUGGGGAUGACGUCAAAUCAUCAUGCCCCUUAUGACCUGGGCUACACACGUGCUACAAUGGACAGAACAAAGGGCAGCGAAACCGCGAGGUUAAGCCAAUCCCACAAAUCUGUUCUCAGUUCGGAUCGCAGUCUGCAACUCGACUGCGUGAAGCUGGAAUCGCUAGUAAUCGCGGAUCAGCAUGCCGGGGGGAAAAACCCUUCCCGGGCCUUGUACACACCGCCCGUCACACCACGAGAGUUUGUAACACCCGAAGUCGGUGAGGUAACCUUUUAGGAGCCAGCCGCCGAAGGUGGGACAGAUGAUUGGGGUGA